AUUUGCAGUUUUUAUACGACCGCAAAAUUUGAAAAAUUUUUCGUCGUAUAUUGCUAUCACGUUGGCGUCUGCGUCGUCGUCGUCGUCCGGCGUCCGAAUACUUUUAGUUUUCGCACUCUAACUUUAGUAAAAGUGAAUGGAAAUCUAUGAAAUUUUAACACAAGGUUUAUGACCACAAAAGGAAGGUUGGUAUUGAUUUUGGGAGUUUUGGUCCCAACAUUUUAGGAAUUAGGGGCCAAAAAGGGCCCAAAUAAGCAUUUUCUUGGUUUUCGCACUAUAACUUUAGUUUAAGUUAAUAGAAAUCUAUGAAAUUUUGACACAAGGUUUAUGACCACAAAAGAACGGUUGGGAUUGAUUUUGGGAGUUUAGGUUUCAACAGUUUAGGAAUUAGGGGCCAAAAAAGGGCCCAAAUAAGCAUUAUUCUUGGUUUUCGCACAAUAACUUUAGUUUAAGUAAAUAGAAAUCAAUGAAAUUUAAACACAAUGUUAAUGACUACAAAAGGAAGGUUGGUAUUGAUUUUGGGAGUUUAGGUCCCAACAGUUUAGGAAUUAGGGGCCAAAAAGGGACCCAAAUAAGCAUUUUUCUUGGUUUUCGCACCAUAACGUUAGUAUAAGUAAAUAGAAAUCUAUGAAAUUUAAACACAAGGUU
RNAcentral lists this long non-coding RNA (648 nucleotides) under Mytilus galloprovincialis (Mediterranean mussel). The record is from RNAcentral. Lineage: Eukaryota; Metazoa; Mollusca; Bivalvia; Mytilida; Mytilidae.